GAUGAACGCUGGCGGCGUGCCUAAUACAUGCAAGUCGAGCGAACAGACGAGAGUGCUUGCACUCUCUGACGUUAGCGGCGGACGGGUGAGUAACACGUGGGUAACCUACCUAUAAGACUGGGAUAACUUCGGGAAACCGGAGCUAAUACCGGAUAAUAUUUAGCUUCGCAUGAAGCAAUAGUGAAAGACGGUUCUGCUGUCACUUAUAGAUGGACCCGCGGUGUAUUAGCUAGUUGGUGAGGUAACGGCUCACCAAGGCAACGAUACAUAGCCGACCUGAGAGGGUGAUCGGCCACACUGGGACUGAGACACGGCCCAGACUCCUACGGGAGGCAGCAGUAGGGAAUCUUCCGCAAUGGACGAAAGUCUGACGGAGCAAUGCCGCGUGAGUGAAGAAGGUUUUCGGAUCGUAAAACUCUGUUGUAAGGGAAGAACAAGUACGUUAGUAACUGAACGUACCUUGACGGUACCUUACCAGAAAGCCUCGGCUAACUACGUG
Molecule: ribosomal RNA, 499 nt
Filed under: uncultured bacterium
Lineage: Bacteria
Description: partial 16S ribosomal RNA
Rfam family: Bacterial small subunit ribosomal RNA
Source: RNAcentral